UGGGGAAUCUUGCACAAUGGGGGCAACCCUGAUGCAGCGACGCCGCGUGAGCGAUGAAGGUUUUCGAAUCGUAAAGCUCUGUCCUAUGGGAAGAUAAUGACGGUACCAUAGGAGGAAGCCCCGGCUAAUUCCGUGCCAGCAGCCGCGGUAAUACGGAAGGUCCAGGCGUUAUCCGGAUUUAUUGGGUUUAAAGGGAGUGUAGGCGGUUGGUUAAGCGUGUUGUGAAAUGUAGGUGCUCAACAUCUGACUUGCAGGGCGAACUGGCUGAAUUGAGUACACACAACGUAGGCGGAAUUCAUGGUGUAGCGGUGAAAUGCUUAGAUAUCGUGAAGAACUCCGAUUGCGAAGGCAGCUUACGGGAGGGUUACUGACGCUUAAGCACGAAGGUGCGGGUAUCGAACAGG
Molecule: ribosomal RNA, 404 nt
Filed under: Verrucomicrobiota bacterium
Lineage: Bacteria; Pseudomonadati; Verrucomicrobiota
Description: Verrucomicrobia bacterium partial 16S ribosomal RNA
Rfam family: Bacterial small subunit ribosomal RNA
Source: RNAcentral